AUUGAACGCUGGCGGCGUGCUUAACACAUGCAAGUCGAUCGGUAACAGGUGUAGCAAUACAUGCUGACGAGAGGCGGACGGGUGAGUAAUGCUUGGGAAUCUGCCUAUUAGUGGGGGACAACCCGGGGAAACUCGGGCUAAUACCGCAUACGCUCUACGGAGGAAAGCCGGGGACCGCAAGGCCUGGCGCUAAUAGAUGAGCCCAAGUCGGAUUAGCUAGUUGGUAGGGUAACGGCCUACCAAGGCGACAAUCCGUAGCUGGUCUGAGAGGACGACCAGCCACACCGGAACUGAGACACGGUCCGGACUCCUACGGGAGGCAGCAGUGGGGAAUAUUGGACAAUGGGGGCAACCCUGAUCCAGCGACGCCGCGUGGGUGAAGAAGGCCUGCGGGUUGUAAAGCCCUUUCGGUGGGGAAGAAAGUCUCGACCUAAUACGUCGGGACCUUGACGUAACCCACUAAAGAAGCACCGGCUAACUCUGUG
RNAcentral lists this ribosomal RNA (485 nucleotides) under uncultured bacterium. RNAcentral describes it as "bacterial SSU rRNA". It matches the Rfam family "Bacterial small subunit ribosomal RNA", at positions 29 to 507 of the family's 1533-position model. The record is from RNAcentral.